This 72-nucleotide transfer RNA is filed under the name Marmota monax (woodchuck). It matches the Rfam family "tRNA". Rfam says of the family: Transfer RNA (tRNA) molecules are approximately 80 nucleotides in length. Their secondary structure includes four short double-helical elements and three loops (D, anti-codon, and T loops). Lineage: Eukaryota; Metazoa; Chordata; Mammalia; Rodentia; Sciuridae. The record is from Rfam by way of RNAcentral.
UGAGUUGUGGCUCAGAGGUAGAGCGCUUACCUGGCACGUGCGAGGCACUGGGUUCAAUCCUCAGCACCACAU